GGGCGAUUAGCUCAGUUGGUAGAGCAGCUGACUCUUAAUCAGCGGGUCGAAGGUUCGAGUCCUUCAUCGCCCACCA
This 76-nucleotide transfer RNA is filed under the name Hyphomicrobium sp. RNAcentral describes it as "tRNA-Lys". It matches the Rfam family "tRNA". From Rfam's summary of the family: Transfer RNA (tRNA) molecules are approximately 80 nucleotides in length. Their secondary structure includes four short double-helical elements and three loops (D, anti-codon, and T loops). Further hydrogen bonds mediate the characteristic L-shaped molecular structure. tRNAs have two regions of fundamental functional importance: the anti-codon, which is responsible for specific mRNA codon recognition, and the 3' end, to which the tRNAs corresponding amino acid is attached (by aminoacyl-tRNA synthetases). tRNAs cope with the degeneracy of the genetic code in two manners: having more than one tRNA (with a specific anti-codon) for a particular amino acid; and 'wobble' base-pairing, i.e. permitting non-standard base-pairing at the 3rd anti-codon position. The record is from RNAcentral. Lineage: Bacteria; Pseudomonadati; Pseudomonadota; Alphaproteobacteria; Hyphomicrobiales; Hyphomicrobiaceae. RNAcentral also lists the same sequence under 6 other names.